Molecule: ribosomal RNA, 325 nt
Filed under: uncultured eukaryote
Lineage: Eukaryota
Description: partial 18S ribosomal RNA
Rfam family: Eukaryotic small subunit ribosomal RNA
Source: RNAcentral
CCCUUAGACGUUCUGGGCCGCACGCGCGCUACACUGACAAAGGCAACGAGCUACUCUUCACCGAAAGGUGUGGGUAAUCUUUUGAAACUUUGUCGUGCUGGGGAUAGAUCCUUGCAAUUUUUGAUCUUAAACGAGGAAUUCCUAGUAAGCGCAAGUCAUCAACUUGCGUUGAUUACGUCCCUGCCCUUUGUACACACCGCCCGUCGCUCCUACCGAUUGGGUGUGCUGGUGAAAUGUUCGGAUCGGCCGUUUGUCGCGGUUUCCGCGUCAUGUGGCUGAGAAGUUCAUUAAACCCUCCCACCUAGAGGAAGGAGAAGUCGUAACA